AACUAACGCUGGCGGCGUGCCUAACACAUGCAAGUCGAACGAGAAAGUUGGCUUCGGCCGAUGAGUAAAGUGGCGCACGGGUGAGUAACGCGUGGAUAAUCUGCCCUUUAGUUUGGAAUAACGUACCGAAAGGUGCGCUAAUACCGGAUAAUACUGAAUGACUACUGUUGUUUAGUCAAAGAAGGCUUCUGGUUACAUGCUUUUGCUGAAGGAUGAGUCCGCGUACCAUUAGCUAGUUGGUAGGGUAAUGGCCUACCAAGGCGACGAUGGUUAGCUGGUCUGAGAGGAUGAUCAGCCACACUGGAACUGAGACAGUCG
RNAcentral lists this ribosomal RNA (318 nucleotides) under uncultured bacterium. Its description in RNAcentral is "bacterial SSU rRNA". It matches the Rfam family "Bacterial small subunit ribosomal RNA", at positions 29 to 329 of the family's 1533-position model. The record is from RNAcentral.